GCGAGGGGGAGCUAAUCCCUAAAAGUCGAUCGUAGGUCCGGAUCGCAGUCUGCAACUCGACUGCGUGAAGUUGGAAUCGCUAGUAAUCGCGGAUCAGAAUGUCGCGGUGAAUACGUUCCCGGGUCUUGUACACACCGCCCGUCACACCAUGGGAGUGGGUUUUACCAGAAGUAGGUAGCUUAACCGCAAGGAGGGCGCUUACCACGGUGGGAUUCAUGACUGGGGUGAAGUCGUAACAAGGUAGCCGUAUCGGAAGGUGCGGUUGGAUCACCUCCU
RNAcentral lists this ribosomal RNA (276 nucleotides) under uncultured Achromobacter sp. RNAcentral describes it as "partial 16S ribosomal RNA". It matches the Rfam family "Bacterial small subunit ribosomal RNA", at positions 1257 to 1531 of the family's 1533-position model. Lineage: Bacteria; Pseudomonadati; Pseudomonadota; Betaproteobacteria; Burkholderiales; Alcaligenaceae. The record is from RNAcentral.